GAUGAAGAACGCAGUGAAAUGCGACAAGUAAUGUGAAUUGCAGAAUUCCGUGAAUCAUCGAAUCUUUGAACGCACAUUGCGCCCGCCAGUAUUCUGGCGGGCAUGCCUGUCUGAGCGUCAUUUCAACCCUCAUGCCCCUAGGGCGUGGUGUUGGGGAUCGGCCAAAGCCCGCGAGGGACGGCCGGCCCCUAAAUCUAGUGGCGGACCCGUCGUGGCCUCCUCUGCGAAGUAGUGAUAUUCCGCAUCGGAGAGCGAUGAGCCCCUGCCGUUAAACCCCCAACUUUCCAAGGUUGACCUCAGAUCAGGUAGGAAUACCCGCUGAACUUAAGCAUAUCAAUAAGCGGAGGA
RNAcentral lists this unclassified non-coding RNA (348 nucleotides) under soil metagenome. Its description in RNAcentral is "partial contains 5.8S ribosomal RNA, internal transcribed spacer 2, and large subunit ribosomal RNA". The stretch from base 1 to 120 matches the Rfam family "5.8S ribosomal RNA", at positions 35 to 154 of the family's 154-position model. The record is from RNAcentral.